RNAcentral lists this ribosomal RNA (477 nucleotides) under uncultured bacterium. RNAcentral's name for it is "bacterial SSU rRNA". It matches the Rfam family "Bacterial small subunit ribosomal RNA", at positions 27 to 518 of the family's 1533-position model. The record is from RNAcentral.
GGACGAACGCUGGCGGCACGCUUAACACAUGCAAGUCGAACGGAGUUAUUUUGAGUUACUUAGAAUAACUUAGUGGCGGACGGGUGAGUAACACGUGAGCAACCUACCUUAGAGAGAGGGAUAGCUUCUGGAAACGGAUGGUAAUACCUCAUAACGUAACUGUACCGCAUGAUAUAGUUACCAAAGAUUUAUCACUCUGAGAUGGGCUCGCGUCUGAUUAGAUAGUUGGUGAGGUAACGGCUCACCAAGUCGACGAUCAGUAGCCGGACUGAGAGGUUGAACGGCCACAUUGGGACUGAGACACGGCCCAGACUCCUACGGGAGGCAGCAGUGGGGAAUAUUGCACAAUGGGGGAAACCCUGAUGCAGCGAUGCCGCGUGGAGGAAGAAGGUUUUCGGAUUGUAAACUCCUGUCUUAAAGGACGAUAAUGACGGUACUUUAGGAGGAAGCUCCGGCUAACUACGUGCCAGCCGCCGC